Molecule: transfer RNA, 68 nt
Filed under: marine eukaryotic metagenome
Rfam family: tRNA
About the family: Transfer RNA (tRNA) molecules are approximately 80 nucleotides in length. Their secondary structure includes four short double-helical elements and three loops (D, anti-codon, and T loops).
Source: RNAcentral
GGGCGUAGCUCAGUUGGUAGAGCGUCAGCUUCCCAAGCUGAAAGUCGCGGGUUCGAGCCCCGUCGCCC